CCAGUCUCACUCGGUUCAUCGCUCAUGCGUCUCUCGCCAAAGCUCUCUCUGCGCAGGAAGAAGCAGCAGAGAAGCUGAAGAGAGUUUGCGGCGUGUCUGGACGACGUAUUCGAGACGUCUUCUGUCCGUAUCUGGGAUCCUCUGCGGCUCCGUAACGCCUCAGACGUGUUAAAGCUGCACUAGUGCUGCAGAUGUUUAAUAAACGUAACCUCAAGCUUG
Cyprinus carpio (common carp) is the source of this 219-nucleotide long non-coding RNA. RefSeq lists it as uncharacterized. The record is from RefSeq and is a predicted model, not a curated record. NCBI's taxonomy places the organism in Eukaryota, Metazoa, Chordata, Actinopteri, Cypriniformes, Cyprinidae. The transcript is spliced from 3 exons.